GAUGAACGCUGGCGGCGUGCUUACACAUGCAAGUCGAGCGAAGCAGUUUAAAUGAGACUUCGGUGGAUUUUAAACUGACUGAGCGGCGGACGGGUGAGUAACGCGUGGAUAACCUGCCUCACACAGGGGGAUAACAGUUAGAAAUGACUGCUAAUACCGCAUAAGCGCACAGUACCGCAUGGUACAGUGUGAAAAACUCCGGUGGUGUGAGAUGGAUCCGCGUCUGAUUAGGUGGUUGGUGGGGUAACGGCCCACCAAGCCGACGAUCAGUAGCCGACCUGAGAGGGUGACCGGCCACAUUGGGACUGAGACACGGCCCAAACUCCUACGGGAGGCAGCAGUGGGGAAUAUUGCACAAUGGGCGAAAGCCUGAUGCAGCGACGCCGCGUGAGUGAAGAAGUAUCUCGGUAUGUAAAGCUCUAUCAGCAGGGAAGAAAAUGACGGUACCUGACUAAGAAGCCCCGGCUAACUACGUGCCAGCAGCCGCGGUAAUACGUAGGGGGCAAGCGUUAUCCGGAUUUACUGGGUGUAAAGGGAGCGCAGACGGCGAUGCAAGUCUGGAGUGAAAGCCCGGGGCUCAACCCCGGGACUGCUUUGGAAACUGUAUGGCUAGAGUGCUGGAGAGGCAAGCGGAAUUCCUAGUGUAGCGGUGAAAUGCGUAGAUAUUAGGAAGAACACCAGUGGCGAAGGCGGCUUGCUGGACAGUAACUGACGUUCAGGCUCGA
This 725-nucleotide ribosomal RNA is filed under the name uncultured Lachnospiraceae bacterium. RNAcentral describes it as "bacterial SSU rRNA". It matches the Rfam family "Bacterial small subunit ribosomal RNA", at positions 28 to 756 of the family's 1533-position model. Lineage: Bacteria; Bacillati; Bacillota; Clostridia; Lachnospirales; Lachnospiraceae. The record is from RNAcentral.